CCUAGAAUCAUCUGGGAAGCAAUAAGGUAC
This 30-nucleotide non-coding RNA is filed under the name Mus musculus (house mouse). Lineage: Eukaryota; Metazoa; Chordata; Mammalia; Rodentia; Muridae. The record is from RNAcentral.